This 497-nucleotide ribosomal RNA is filed under the name uncultured bacterium. RNAcentral's name for it is "partial 16S ribosomal RNA". It matches the Rfam family "Bacterial small subunit ribosomal RNA", at positions 28 to 507 of the family's 1533-position model. The record is from RNAcentral.
GAUGAACGCUGGCGGCGUGCCUAAUACAUGCAAGUCGAGCGAACAGACGAGGAGCUUGCUCCUCUGACGUUAGCGGCGGACGGGUGAGUAACACGUGGAUAACCUACCUAUAAGACUUGGAUAACUUCGGGAAACCGGAGCUAAUACCGGAUAAUAUAUUGAACCGCAUGGUUCAAUAGUGAAAGACGGUUUUGCUGUCACUUAUAGAUGGAUCCGCGCCGCAUUAGCUAGUUGGUAAGGUAACGGCUUACCAAGGCAACGAUGCGUAGCCGACCUGAGAGGGUGAUCGGCCACACUGGAACUGAGACACGGUCCAGACUCCUACGGGAGGCAGCAGUAGGGAAUCUUACGCAAUGGGCGAAAGCCUGACGGAGCAAAGCCGCGUGAGUGAUGAAGGUCUUCGGAUCGUAAAACUCUGUUAUUAGGGAAGAACAAAUGUGUAAGUAACUAUGCACGUCUUGACGGUACCUAAUCAGAAAGCCACGGCUAACUACGUG